AUUGAACGCUGGCGGCAUGCUUUACACAUGCAAGUCGAACGGUAACAGGCCUUCGGGUGCUGACGAGUGGCGAACGGGUGAGUAAUGCAUCGGAACGUGCCCAGAGGUGGGGGAUAACGCAGCGAAAGCUGUGCUAAUACCGCAUGUGAUCUGAGGAUGAAAGCGGGGGACCAGGCAGCAAUGUUUGGCCUCGCGCCUUUGGAGCGGCCGAUGUCAGAUUAGGUAGUUGGUGGGGUAAAGGCCUACCAAGCCGACGAUCUGUAGCUGGUCUGAGAGGACGACCAGCCACACUGGGACUGAGACACGGCCCAGACUCCUACGGGAGGCAGCAGUGGGGAAUUUUGGCCAAUGGGCGCAAGCCUGAUCCAGCAAUGCCGCGUGAGGGAAGAAGGCCUUCGGGUUGUAAACCGCUUUUGUACGGAACGAAAAGGCUCUGGCUAAUACCUGGGGCUGAUGACGGUACCGUAAGAAUAAGCACCGGCUAACUACGUG
This 492-nucleotide ribosomal RNA is filed under the name uncultured bacterium. Its description in RNAcentral is "partial 16S ribosomal RNA". It matches the Rfam family "Bacterial small subunit ribosomal RNA", at positions 30 to 507 of the family's 1533-position model. The record is from RNAcentral.